Ornithodoros turicata is the source of this 660-nucleotide long non-coding RNA. RefSeq lists it as uncharacterized. The transcript has 4 exons. NCBI's taxonomy places the organism in Eukaryota, Metazoa, Arthropoda, Arachnida, Ixodida, Argasidae. The record is from RefSeq and is a predicted model, not a curated record.
CGCACGCAUUUUUCUCGCUCCCGUUGUCUUGUGUUUCGUCGUUGCUCUGGUGCCCUGUACUGCUGUGAAUGUAUUUUUGAACAACAAGGUUGGGACAGCGCACUCACGACGUGGGAAGAUACAUCACAGAAAUGUUGAAAGAUAUCAGAUGUGUGGAAACGUCGUAGCGGAUGAAUGUGAAUUAUGGAUCUCCAACAAGUGGCGUCACCCGGCGUCAUUUUCAAUAUUUUACCGUUUUUGAAGGCAAUAGGGCUGUUGAUAGGGAGAAUGCUAGGCUGCUGCCAGACUGCAACCAUAGGCGCUGUGUGUAAAGGUUAAGCUCAUAUGACGCGGCAGGCAAGGGAGUCCAUGGUGAAAAGUGAAUCUCGCAAAGUUGGAUAGCGUUAAUUUUUGCGCACGAAACGCAAGCUGGGCACAUCGCAAAUCUCAAGUUGUACGAAACACAGUGCAGCAUGGUCGCCGGUUAUCCCAGUGGUUCAACAUAUGUUUCAUCGUCGCAGUUCGGACAUUGCAGGCAUAUACCUUUGAGUUUACCCCUUGUGGACCGAUGCUGUGUGUGUUCAUGGACGUCAUGUUUUCAAAGACAUGUAAGUGCUCAAUAACCAGUUGCGAUAAAAUGAUUGUCAUGUUACGCUGUGAUAUAAUACCUGGUGAGGUGAU